This is a long non-coding RNA of Oncorhynchus gorbuscha (pink salmon), 1740 nucleotides long. RefSeq lists it as uncharacterized. The transcript has 2 exons. The record is from RefSeq and is a predicted model, not a curated record. NCBI's taxonomy places the organism in Eukaryota, Metazoa, Chordata, Actinopteri, Salmoniformes, Salmonidae.
CACCAUAGCGGGCUUAUUGGAGCUGUCAUUUGUGACUGAGACAUGUAAAUGUGUGCUAUAAAAAAUGUACAUUUGUGGAUUGCUGGACAUACAAAUAAGAGUAGCUUAUUUCUUCAUACAUUUGAAAUGAGGUGUGGUUGUGGCCGCAACCGGUCUAGAUUGUGAAGGACUCUGCCAUGAGGGUGAUAAGCACAAUGUCAUUCGUGAACUGCAGCCCACCCCCAAAUGAUUUGUUCUCGAGUUGGAGUUUGUUGAGCAGAGGCUGUGUGUGUUUUGAUUCUACAAAUCUGUGUCCAUCAUAACAUUCAACAAAAUUAAUUGUAUUCAUUAUUGCAAUCAAUUAUCAGUUCUAAAUAUGUUCUUCUUCUUCUCUAUGCUCGUGAUCUAUUUCCCUGCACAUGACAGAGAGUUGAGGGUCGGGGCACGUCUCUGGAGCCGCUGAGCCGUGUAUUAAAGGGGAAUUUCACCCUGGGGGAACCUGGGCUUGUUUUCAUUAUGUCUGCGGCAUUUCGAGGACAGUGAGAUGUAAUUGCCCAGGAGGAAGACAGGUCAGGAACUCACAAGCUGAAUCAUCUACCCAAUGACGGCUUCCGGUGUAUUGUAUUUUUUCUAUAAAUAAACAGGAAGUCUUUCAGUGAUAUUCCUAUUGGCAGAUUCAUUUCCAAAUAUACAAGCUGUCACAUUUCAACAAGAAUUCGACAAUGGAGCAUCUAUUAGCUACAUGGUGACAUUCAACCAUACAUGUUUCAACCGGAAUAUAGAUUCUAAAUAAAGAGUUGGAUUUAGCUAAUGUUAGAAGCUCAGCUACAGCCGAUGCCAGCACCAAGAGGCCAGAUGACAAAUACAGUGCCUCGCUAAACAACACCGUUUGGUGCCUGGACAACUUCCUGGAGUGGAUUCUAGACACAGAAACAGGAUCCGAUUGCCUGCGAGUGUCAUUGUAGCAGAACUGUAUCCUGUGAGCUGUAUCCAUCUCGAGCGAUUACACAUGGCGCUGGAUUUCAAGAAGAUGACUCCCGAGGAGCUGAUUGGCUGUUUGAUCAUGACAACACUCCUCCCACAGUUUCACAAGCAUUCCCUGAUCUUACUGUGUUUCUUUUGGAAUGGCAAUUUUAUCAUGGCCACCUCUCCCAUCAUCUGCUGGUCACCAGUUCUCUUAGCUACAGCUUGUUACACCAGAUAACCCCAGUGAUUUGAUUUUGAUUUGGGUAUCCAUUCCUGAGAAAUCAACCUUAGUGGUGCCCGUCUUUGUCCUCGAUUCGGGGGAACAGGAGUCUCUCAAACUGUUUGUGUCCAGUUGCAGGGAGUCAGUUUGAAUUUAGAAAAUGCUCCGUUAUUAAAAUAUAUAUAUAUAAAUAUUUUUUUGCUCCAUCAAGUAAUCAAACUAUGUGCGCCGCCGUCGUGCGUAUUUCAAGUCUUCUCACACUUUGAUCGAGACAGCUAUCUGUCAUCAUGACAUAGAGCUCUGUGAGAGAAGACUUGAAAUAGACAAGAUGUCGGCAAAAUAUCUUUGGGUAAAUCACAUUAUCUGGUGUAACGAUCUGUAGCUAGAGUUCUCGGCACUUGUGUGUCUCUACACCCAAUACACACUCUGACACAUUGAACUGUACUACACGUUUCAUACAAUUAUUUUUGUAUGUUACUUUUACCAUGUAACAUUGUUGUUCUCUUGAGUUAGCAUUAAAUAGUGUACAAUCUCCUCUAUUUUAGAUUUUGACAAAUAAACAAACUUUCUUUGCA